AUGGCAUUAAGUAACUACUUGGACAGUAAAACAGUCUAAAUAGGUACCUAAACCUGUUGAUAAAGGAGUUUCACAGCGUAUUAAUCUAGGAGUUAAUAGUGCAAUCUGACACUGAUCCGGUCUGCCAAACAGUGUAUCAGCUACUGAAGAAAAAGGGAAAUCAUCUUGAGCCUUCCGGGGUCCACCCGUGUCGGCUGGACCCAUCUCUAUAUUGGCUAUAUAACCAGGUAGACGCCUAAGACGUUACCUAACCUGUGGCCUAAGGCGACAGAUGGCAUUAACUACUUGGCCGGACAAAUGGGGAGCGCUGAAGGCUCUCACCCGGUACAACGUUUAAGACAACAGGCCUGAGGGUGCCCAGUUGGGCGCGAACCUCGGCUCAGGGCGUCGUCUGAGAGGAAAAAUAUUUGAAAAAAUUAAUCGACCCUAGUGGGUCGAUAGCGAUAAGCGCUGAAUGAGGGAAAUCGUCGACCACGCCGGCGGGGUCGGUAUCGGGGACCUGAAGUGUUUGGUGUCGCGAGCUGAUUGGCUGCCUCUAUGGCUAGAGUAA
Long non-coding RNA from Pectinophora gossypiella (pink bollworm), 550 nucleotides. RefSeq lists it as uncharacterized. The transcript has 3 exons. The record is from RefSeq and is a predicted model, not a curated record. Lineage: Eukaryota; Metazoa; Arthropoda; Insecta; Lepidoptera; Gelechiidae.